GAUGAACGCUGGCGGCGUGCCUAAUACAUGCAAGUCGAACGCACAGCGAAAGGUGCUUGCACCUUUCAAGUGAGUGGCGAACGGGUGAGUAAUACGUGGGCAACCUGCCUCAAGGCUGGGGAUAACAUUUGGAAACAGAUGCUAAUACCGAAUAAAACUCAGUGUCGCAUGACACAAAGUUAAAAGGCGCUUUGGCGUCACCUAGAGAUGGAUCCGCGGUG
Molecule: ribosomal RNA, 221 nt
Filed under: uncultured bacterium
Lineage: Bacteria
Description: partial 16S ribosomal RNA
Rfam family: Bacterial small subunit ribosomal RNA
Source: RNAcentral